GAAAAUUUCUAAAUUAUCUUCUAAUCUAGAUCAAGAUUCUAUAACAAUUCAAGAUUUCAAACUGAAUCAGUCUAAUUCUUGUUCAAUUUCAGUCCGGGCGACAGAAAGUGAAGCCGAAGAAGAAGCGACUCCACGCCAGCUUUAAGAACGUUUAAGGAUGAGCAGGCGAUGGAAUGGAUCGGUGUUGAGCGGAUUCCCUUUUGAUGGUCAUGUAAUGAAACCUUGAGUAUGCAUCUCCAUAUGCAUAACUCACACAUUUUUCCGCUGCAAACACUCUGACUUAUUUAUCGUUUCUACUUGAACUUAUUACUACUUCAUUUUGA
Molecule: long non-coding RNA, 323 nt
Organism: Salvia miltiorrhiza (redroot sage)
Lineage: Eukaryota; Viridiplantae; Streptophyta; Magnoliopsida; Lamiales; Lamiaceae
Exons: 4
Source: RefSeq, a predicted model, not a curated record